AGUGAACGCUGGCGGUAGGCCUAACACAUGCAAGUCGAACGGCAGCACAGUAAGAGCUUGCUCUUACGGGUGGCGAGUGGCGGACGGGUGAGGAGUACAUCGGAAUCUACUUUUUCGUGGGGGAUAACGUAGGGAAACUUACGCUAAUACCGCAUACGACCUACGGGUGAAAGCAGGGGAUCUUCGGACCUUGCGCGAUUGAAUGAGCCGAUGUCGGAUUAGCUAGUUGGCGGGGUAAAGGCCCACCAAGGCGACGAUCCGUAGCUGGUCUGAGAGGAUGAACAGCCAAACUGGAACUGAGACACGGUCCAGACUCCUACGGGAGGCAGCAGUGGGGAAUAUUGGACAAUGGGCGCAAGCCUGAUCCAGCCAUACCGCGUGGGUGAAGAAGGCCUUCGGGUUGUAAAGCCCUUUUGUUGGGAAAGAAAAGCAGCAGGUUAAUACCCCGCUGUUCUGACGGUACCCAAAGAAUAAGCACCGGCUAACUUCGUG
Molecule: ribosomal RNA, 492 nt
Filed under: uncultured bacterium
Lineage: Bacteria
Description: partial 16S ribosomal RNA
Rfam family: Bacterial small subunit ribosomal RNA
Source: RNAcentral